UGGUUUCCUUUACAUCUUCUCCGUAGAAACAUUAAAGUCUAAUAAUUGUAAAUGCACGUGGAUACUUGUGAAUUGGACCGUUUUUUGCAAUCAGGCUCAUUUGCAUAAUGGGGCCAAAUGUGCACCAGUCAAAAGUUUGAAGCUUUCUCAUUCAAACAAAUCCGAUAAGUGUUGACUGGUCCUGUAUGCACAUUACCAAACCCUUGUCUCUAGGGUUCUACCCCAUGACUAAUAACUAUUUUCCCCAAAAGGACAAUCAAAUACUUUCAAAAGACACUUUCAGAUACGAUUCGUUAAACGGUUUGAGCCAACUGGUUCACUCCAUGUGGCGGACAAGGUUUCCUUACCAGUCACACGCAAUCAUGCAGCAGCUUACCAACGCAGCCGCCACCGCUCCAUUUGUCCUGAUGAGGUCUAAAUGAGGGAAACGGCUCACCGCGGAGCCAUUGUGCGGUAUUUGUUUGCUUGUGUGAGGGAUUUUACACCCGCUGGGGAGAACAAAUUGUAUAAUAGCAGCCAGUCAGCAGUCGGUAAACAUGUCAGAAGCCAGACAAACAGAGAUACACGCGUGCCCUGCUUGACACGCAGAGAAAAGGAGCAGUCGGAGUAAAGUGUUAAGGACGACCCAGUGUCAGGCGCUAAUUACCGUCGACGCUUCCCAAAGGAAUCCUCCGCCGUGUGACGGUUGCUGCUCACCAACGUGCAGCUGGUGAGCAGCAACCGACGAGCCGCCGAGGCGUCGGAGCGUCGCUCCGCCUUCUAUUCCUGCUGAGCUCGGUUGCGUCUUGUGAUAUCAUUUCCGCUGUGCAGCUCCCGAGUGUUUGUGCGCCCCGUGGAAUCAAUGAGCACUGGAUGACUUUAGUAUGGAUUAGAUUUAUGUGGCUGGUGAUGUCAUGGGCCGUGUUUCAUCAGCGGGACCAGGACCGUCUCAGUUACAGCAUAAUUAAUACGUCUCGCACGGUUAGUCCUGUAUGAUUUCAAACGCAGUGCACGGAGAUCCUGCAGCACAAGGAAAGGACAUCACGGUGUAACGUUUCAACGGUUAAAGGUGGAGCUGCAGAUGGAGGCCUUUGCCAUAAAGGUGCGUUGUGAAGAAACUAAUCAAAUCGAUAUUAUUUGGCUCUCUGAGGGCUGAGGAAGGUUGCUUGGUUAGUUAUGAGCAGUGAGUUACUCUAUCAGGGGGGGCAGGCCGUUCACUGGCAGGCACCACCCCACCAACUGAGUGCCUUUUACCAUUUUAUUUGCGAGACGUGAGCGAUAGGAAGUCGAUCCAUCGAGGUGGUCGGUUGGGUGGGCAUGGUGGCAUCGCUAAGCCUUCAGGAAGGGUCAAAAGAGAGGGGGGAGGAAACAGAGAGAAAUGAAGGGUUGGGAGGAAGGGGUUUGGAAUACGUCAACGGGAUACCGGAAUGGAGGCGUGUUGAGGCGUGUUGAGGCGUGUUGAGGCGUGUUGAGGCGUGUUGAGGCGUGUGGAGGCAUGUGGAGGCGUGGUCCUGCUCACCUGAAAUUACGCCAAUUAGCUUCAAAACAAGUAGUAAUAUCAGCUUUUCUGUUGGCCGAACAGGAAAAAUAUCGUUGUUGUCAUCAGACAAAUGACGUUAGCUGGAUACAAACCGUGAACCUUCUAUUCUGCAGAGUGAAGCCAAUGUGUCUUAAGUGUCUUAAAACUUCUGUUGACUG
Molecule: long non-coding RNA, 1677 nt
Organism: Gasterosteus aculeatus aculeatus (three-spined stickleback)
Lineage: Eukaryota; Metazoa; Chordata; Actinopteri; Perciformes; Gasterosteidae
Source: Ensembl